Molecule: long non-coding RNA, 618 nt
Organism: Eurytemora carolleeae
Lineage: Eukaryota; Metazoa; Arthropoda; Copepoda; Calanoida; Temoridae
Exons: 4
Source: RefSeq, a predicted model, not a curated record
UAGGCCAAGGUUUGAGGAGAAAGUAGUGAAAGCCAAUGGAACCUUUCUUCUGGUUCUCAGUAACCAGUAGCACCAUGAGCAGGAAGAAUAUUGUAAACUCAGGACAGGAAACAGGACACGGAGAAAAGAAGGUCGGUGUUUUGAUUGAGUUUAGUAAAUGUUGAGGAUAUCCUCCUAGAGCUGAUCUAUUAGCGAGUAUGAUAGAGGAGAAGGUUCCUGGAAUCCGUGUCUCUAAGAAACCCUACAUAAAAACCUCCUUUGAGGUUUGGGUCGGAGGAGAACUCCUCUUCUCCAAACUCAAGAUGAAAACCUUCCCGGAUUUCUCCGCCAUUGUUGAUUCCGUCUACAAUACAGUUGUCAAAGGAGAUCACGUUCAGGAGAUAUCAGAUACAUCCUUCUGUGCUCCUAGUUAUCAGGGAUGCUGCUAUGUUAGCUAAUAAUCAAUUUAUCAAUAAAACAAACAAUCAAUCCAUCAUUCAUCCAAACAGUCCAAAGGGCCAUAUACAAGUAAGAGGAAAACCGAGUCCGAAAGUUUGGGCCAGGCAGGAUGAAAUACUGUAUAUGUGAAUAUAUUUAUAAAUACAUUUAUUUUUUAAAUAAAACCAAAUAAUAUUGUUU